Molecule: ribosomal RNA, 192 nt
Filed under: uncultured Staphylococcus sp.
Lineage: Bacteria; Bacillati; Bacillota; Bacilli; Caryophanales; Staphylococcaceae
Description: partial 16S ribosomal RNA
Rfam family: Bacterial small subunit ribosomal RNA
Source: RNAcentral
UUCGGGAAACCGGAGCUAAUACCGGAUAAUAUAUUGAACCGCAUGGUUCAAUAGUGAAAGACGGUUUUGCUGUCACUUAUAGAUGGAUCCGCGCCGCAUUAGCUAGUUGGUAAGGUAACGGCUCACCAAGGCAACGAUGCGUAGCCGACCUGAGAGGGUGAUCGGCCACACUGGAACUGAGACACGGUCCAG